This 468-nucleotide ribosomal RNA is filed under the name uncultured bacterium. Its description in RNAcentral is "bacterial SSU rRNA". It matches the Rfam family "Bacterial small subunit ribosomal RNA", at positions 331 to 793 of the family's 1533-position model. The record is from RNAcentral.
CCAGACUCCUACGGGAGGCAGCAGUGAGGAAUAUUGGUCAAUGGCCGAGAGGCUGAACCAGCCAAGUCGCGUGAGGGAAGAAUGUCCUAAGGAUUGUAAACCUCUUUUGUCGGGGAGCAAAAAGGCUCUGCGGAGUCGUAUUGAGAGUACCCGAAGAAAAAGCAUCGGCUAACUCCGUGCCAGCAGCCGCGGUAAUACGGAGGAUGCGAGCGUUAUCCGGAGUGACUGGGUGUAAAGAGUUGCGUAGGUGGCAUAAUAAGUAGCUAGUGAAAUCUGGUGGCUCAACCAUUCAGACUAUUAGCUAAACUGUUAAGCUCGAGACCGUUAGGGGUAACUGGAAUUUCUAGUGUAGGAGUGAAAUCCGUAGAUAUUAGAAGGAACACCAAUAGCGUAGGCAGGUUGCUGGGACGGUUCUGACACUAAGGCACGAAAGCGUAGGGAGCAAACGGGAUUAGAUACCCUAGUAUG